GUUCCUGGGAGAAGACAAUGCAUAUGCAAUGACUUCCCUGCUUGCUGUGGCCCAGUGCAGAGGUGUGGAAGUAUCGUGCAAGGAGGAUGCGUGUGAGGCAGCGAGUGGAUCUUCCAGGCUUUGUGGGCAGUGCUACGGAGCAAUGGGCAAGUGCGGAGCAGUAAGGCCAGUGGAGGACAUGAGUCACACGACUUUGAUGAGCCCAGUCCCUGGCUCUCUCACGUGCAACUUGCAGGAAUCUCAUCCUACAGCCCCCAGUUAAUGGCUGAGGAGAGAGAAGCUUCUGGGAGGAUGAGGAGAGGGAGCACCCAGACAGGAAGCCUUGGCAGCCUGUUGCAAGAGGGUAGCCGUGGUGAAAGAAAUAUGGUAGAGAUGCUGGGGCCUCAGGCAAAACAACACAAUACUUCUGGAAAGGUUGAGUAAGCACCAGAAUGAAGACCGGGAGCCGUAUGGGAAGACUCGAGCAAGAGACGCAGGGGCUUUCCAAGGGCUUCAAGAAGGAAAAAACCAGCAAUGACGUCAGCCAAUGCUGAUGGGUCUGACAAGAAGACAGAUUCUAUGGAGGAGUUGUUGUGAAGGGCUUUAGAAAGAGAAGUGCAAAAGAAGAAAAUUGUCUUUCCUCUUGGUUCUCCCCGGCCGCUUUCCAUGAGGAUCACAGCACAUGUUGGUGUUGGUGACACCACUGCACGGGAGAGACGAACAAUGCAAGGGGGGACUGAAAUUCAACCAGAAAAGCGGUUGGUUACUAUCGAGCUAUUGGGCAUGGUGUGCCAGACCAGUCAUGACUACAGCCGGUAAGGCCUGUGAUGACCUUUCUCCUGCACGGAACUUUCUAGCACCUUGAAAGUCAAUCAGUAGGCAUGGAGUUUCCAGAGAAGGGCCGGCCUCCCAGGGAUAUCAAGCUGCAGCGAGACAGGCAGCCUCGUCGAUUAAGGAUGGAGGAGGCCAUCCUGUAGGAGGAUGGGGCCCAAAGGCAUGCAGCAGAAGCAGGGGCAGCCUCUCUGGCUGUUGGUUUAGUCUCCGUCAGCCCCUGUGAGUUCAGCUUAUUAUGGCAAAAGGGUACAAAUCUGACGUUUGAAGAAAGAGUGGAGCCCAGAAUUUGGGACAAGAGGACUCCAAACAGAAAGCUCUGCAGCUUCCAGAACACAUCACCUUCUGGCAUCCACACGCAGCAACGUAUGUAUGGCGCACUGCCGACCCUUGACCUCGCCCAGUCACCAAAGUAAAGGCUUUACUCCGCCUUCCUUGUCCCAUCCUCUGGCUGCCUCCAGUCCCCAGGACCUGGGAAGAUAGAAUACAACUGAGCGUCCCAACCCCUCUUUCUGGCUCACCCAGACACAACUUGAGUGAUGUCAUUAACAUAAACUCUCAGGAAAGCACUAUGAGUCAUCUCAUUAGCAUAAAUGGUCCAAAAGGCCCAUCAUGGAUUGAAUAACAAUCCAGUAAAUUCUAAAGAUUUGGAGUUAAUCUGAAUCUCCAGUCCCUGUCUUCUGUAACAGGGAAAGAUACUCUAAGGAGAGAUACUUGUGCCCCUCCCCUUCGGUAUUAGACAAUUAACACAGUUAUCGCCAAGGAACUGAAAUUCCUCCAGGAAGCCUGUGUUUGGAGAAGAGAAAGGCUAGAGUUUAGUACCAAAGAAGGAAUUUGUCUCCUGGGAAGAGAUUUCACACAGCCUGACAACUUCUCAGACCUCUGUUGGAACACCCUAGAGCCUGGACCACACCUGGACCACGACUGUUUAGCUAUGUCUAUCUCUUGCCCUCAAUUUAAACCGAAGACUAUGUCAGUACCUCCAAAUGCUCUUAGGGAAGCACUGAACCUCUUUAAGUUUUCUGAUUAUGACAGGAAAUUUGAAAUAUUUAUCUUGUUGUUUUAUUAGGGUAGAGAGAGAAAAUGCAGGCGAAGUCCUCAGCACAAUGCCUAAUAGAUAUUGCCAUUGCAUUUCCUCCUUCUCCCUGUCUACCUGGUGCAUUUCCUAAACUUAUAUGACAAGAGCGAAGAUGCAGGGGUGGGCAUGGGGGUGAGGGUUUUAUAAAGUGAUAUAGUCACAUAAUUAAGAAUUUGUGACCAGUGAUGCUGGGUUAAUUCUCCACAACUUGAUCAGAUCUUAGAGAGGUUCAAAGAAAGAGACGGAUUUCCAGGGUGAAAACUCCCACCCAGUUCCAGGAAAAGGAGGGCUCUUUUCAGGCCCUUCUUAGCUUCAGAACCACAGGCUGUGGGCUUUGCAGAUCAUGGAAGACAGAAAAUCAAGAGAUUCAGAGCCUGGAUGUUGGGUGGCCCUACAGGUUAAAGGUUGCAGUUCCCCAUGUCCAGGCAGCUCUCUCUGAGCUUGGCCCGAGAUGGAGGACUCCCUACCCAUCUUGGGGGCUUUCCCACUCUCUGCCUGACUUUGUUUGGAGGCUCUCUCUAAGCCUGGCUGGCUGACUUAUCUUAGGUGUGACCUUUGGCACAGUUCUCUACAAACAACCUCCCCCACCCCCCAGCCAUCAUGAUAACAGGCAUUGUGCUAGCAGCUUUGUGAUAGGAGCAUGCUGCCAGGCAGUUAGGUGAGCCCGGCUGCCCUUCCCAACAAUCUACUUAUCUCUGACUCUAGAGUAGAACCCUGCUAGCUGCUUCUGCUCCUUUGUCCUCGUGGCCUGGUGGUCAUUGGACCUCAAAGGAAAAGGAGACCGACAUUUGGGUGCUGGGAUAAGAAAGAAAGCUGGGUGUGGUUCCCUCUGGCUUUGUCUACCUGGGUGUCUAAUCCUGUGAGUUUCACCUUUCUGUUUUUAAAUAUGGAAGAGAUGGCUCAGCAGUUAAGAGCACUGGCUGGUUUGAUUCCCAGCACUCACAUGGCAGUUCACAACAGUUAAUAACUACAGUCUUAGGGCAUCUGAUGUCUUCUGGCCCUGAUGGGCAUCAGGCACACACAUGGUUCAUGGAUGUAUGUGCAGGAAGAACACCCAUGAACGUAAAAAUAAGUAUAUAUUUAAAACUAUGAAAAACGCUAUAUCCCUAAAGAGCAUAGAGUUGUUAAAAAUAAUAAAUGAGCUUCUAUAAGUGGAA
Molecule: non-coding RNA, 3045 nt
Organism: Myodes glareolus (Bank vole)
Lineage: Eukaryota; Metazoa; Chordata; Mammalia; Rodentia; Cricetidae
Source: RefSeq, a predicted model, not a curated record